Molecule: long non-coding RNA, 539 nt
Filed under: Ananas comosus (pineapple)
Lineage: Eukaryota; Viridiplantae; Streptophyta; Magnoliopsida; Poales; Bromeliaceae
Description: long non-coding RNA (ACOM_LNC031872)
Source: RNAcentral
AAAUACAGCAGUUAAAAAAUAUAACUUUAAACAAAAAAUAAAUUUACCAUCCUAAUAGCUUUUUAAAUAGUUUUUUUCACCACUACAUAUAUAUAUAUAUAAAGUGAGAAAAUUUUGAAAAUACAUUUCUCGGCUAUAUAAAAUCAAAUAAAUUAUUUAAGAAAAACUCCAAAUACCAUCAUGUGGUUUCACACUUUCUCACUAUAAUACUAUGUAAUUUAAAGUAUAUCAAUUUAGUGACUGUGGUUUCAUUUUUAUCUUUUUAUUAUCGAUUUCACUAAUUUUUUUUGUUAAAUCAGUGACAAAGUGAAAACUAAAUGGUACUAAAAUAAAUAUUCGAUAAAAAUGAAACCACAUGGGUGACGAAAAGAUAAAAAUUUAACGAAAUAUUAACGAAAAAGCUGAGAAAAAGAUAAAAAUGAAACCACGGGACACUAACUUGAUACACUUUAAACUACAUGGUACUAAAGUAAGAAAGUGCAAAAUUACAUGGGUGGCAUUUGAAGUUUACCCAAUUAUUUAUAAAUGAAAUAUAUAGU